RNAcentral lists this ribosomal RNA (467 nucleotides) under uncultured bacterium. RNAcentral's name for it is "bacterial SSU rRNA". It matches the Rfam family "Bacterial small subunit ribosomal RNA", at positions 329 to 793 of the family's 1533-position model. The record is from RNAcentral.
UACCAGACUCCUACGGGAGGCAGCAGUGAGGAAUAUUGGUCAAUGGGCGGAAGCCUGAACCAGCCAAGUCGCGUGAGGGAUUAAGGCCCUGCGGGUCGUAAACCUCUUUUGCCGGGGAGCAGAGGUCCGGACGUGUCCGGGCCGGGAGAGUACCCGGAGAAAAAGCAUCGGCUAACUCCGUGCCAGCAGCCGCGGUAAUACGGAGGAUGCGAGCGUUAUCCGGAUUUAUUGGGUUUAAAGGGUGCGUAGGCGGGCAUUUAAGCCGGCGGUCAAAUGUCGGGGCUCAACCCCGGCCUGCCGUCGGAACUGCCGGGCUAGAGUGGGCGAGAAGUGCGCGGAAUGCGUGGUGUAGCGGUGAAAUGCAUAGAUAUCACGCAGAACUCCGAUUGCGAAGGCAGCGCACCGGCGCCCUACUGACGCUCAGGCACGAAAGCGUGGGUAUCGAACAGGAUUAGAUACCCUGGUAA